This 254-nucleotide ribosomal RNA is filed under the name uncultured bacterium. RNAcentral describes it as "partial 16S ribosomal RNA". It matches the Rfam family "Bacterial small subunit ribosomal RNA", at positions 524 to 776 of the family's 1533-position model. The record is from RNAcentral.
UACGUAGGGUGCGAGCGUUGUCCGGAAUUAUUGGGCGUAAAGAGCUCGUAGGCGGUCUGUCGCGUCGAUCGUGAAAACUUGGGGCUUAACCCUGAGCUUGCGGUCGAUACGGGCAUGACUGGAGUUCGGCAGGGGAGACUGGAAUUCCUGGUGUAGCGGUGAAAUGCGCAGAUAUCAGGAAGAACACCCGUGGCGAAGGCGGUUCUCUGGGACGGUACUGACGCUGAGACGCGAAAGCGUGGGGAGCGAACAGG